GACGAACGCUGGCGGCGUGCUUAACACAUGCAAGUCGAACGGAAAGGCCCAGCUUGCUGGGUGCUCGAGUGGCGAACGGGUGAGUAACACGUGGGUGAUCUGUCUCUAACUUCGGGAUAAGCUUGGGAAACUGGGUCUAAUACCGGAUAGGACAAUCGUUUAGUGUCGGUUGUGGAAAGUUUUUUCGGUUAGGGAUGAGCCCGCGGCCUAUCAGCUUGUUGGUGGGGUAAUGGCCUACCAAGGCGUCGACGGGUAGCCGGCCUGAGAGGGUGGACGGCCACAUUGGGACUGAGAUACGGCCCAGACUCCUACGGGAGGCAGCAGUGGGGAAUAUUGCACAAUGGGCGCAAGCCUGAUGCAGCGACGCCGCGUGGGGGAUGACGGCCUUCGGGUUGUAAACCUCUUUCGACAGGGACGAAGCUUUGGUGACGGUACCUGGAUAAGAAGCACCGGCUAACUACGUG
RNAcentral lists this ribosomal RNA (464 nucleotides) under uncultured bacterium. RNAcentral describes it as "partial 16S ribosomal RNA". It matches the Rfam family "Bacterial small subunit ribosomal RNA", at positions 28 to 507 of the family's 1533-position model. The record is from RNAcentral.